RNAcentral lists this ribosomal RNA (828 nucleotides) under uncultured bacterium. RNAcentral's name for it is "bacterial SSU rRNA". It matches the Rfam family "Bacterial small subunit ribosomal RNA", at positions 674 to 1501 of the family's 1533-position model. The record is from RNAcentral.
UGUAGCGGUGAAAUGCGUAGAUAUCUGGAGGAAUACCGAUGGCGAAGGCAGCCUUCUGGCCUAACACUGACGCUGAGGUGCGAAAGCAUGGGGAGCAAACAGGAUUAGAUACCCUGGUAGUCCAUGCCGUAAACGAUGUCUACUAGCCGUUGGGGGACUUGAUCCUUUAGUGGCGCAGCUAACGCAUUAAGUAGACCGCCUGGGGAGUACGGUCGCAAGACUAAAACUCAAAUGAAUUGACGGGGGCCCGCACAAGCGGUGGAGCAUGUGGUUUAAUUCGAUGCAACGCGAAGAACCUUACCUGGCCUUGACAUGUCUGGAACCCUGUAGAGAUACGGGAGUGCCUUCGGGAAUCAGAACACAGGUGCUGCAUGGCUGUCGUCAGCUCGUGUCGUGAGAUGUUGGGUUAAGUCCCGCAACGAGCGCAACCCUUGUCCUUAGUUGCCAGCACGUAAUGGUGGGAACUCUAGGGAGACUGCCGGUGACAAACCGGAGGAAGGCGGGGACGACGUCAAGUCAUCAUGGCCCUUACGGCCAGGGCUACACACGUGCUACAAUGGUCGGUACAAAGGGUUGCCAACUCGCGAGAGUGCGCUAAUCCCAAAAAGCCGAUCGUAGUCCGGAUUGGAGUCUGCAACUCGACUCCAUGAAGUCGGAAUCGCUAGUAAUCGCGGAUCAGAAUGCCGCGGUGAAUACGUUCCCGGGCCUUGUACACACCGCCCGUCACACCAUGGGAGUUUGUUGCACCAGAAGUAGGUAGCUUAACCGCAAGGAGGGCGCUUACCACGGUGUGGCCAAUGACUGGGGUGAAGUCGUAACAAGGUAACC